CUCUCGGUUUCCGGUGUCAUGGCGGUUUGAGGUCUCAGCAGUCGGCGAGGCGGCUGCAGGCCCCUCCCUGCGGAGCCGCUGGUCCGGCAGGCGGGGAUGUGACCGCGGGCCCUGCCGGCCUGCCCCGGGCGUCGCCUCAGCUCCUGUGCCAGCGCCCUCCGUCCGCACCGAUGGCGGGGUCCGGCUGCGCGUGGGGCGCGGAGCCGCCGCGGUUUCUGGAAGCCUUCGGGCGGCUGUGGCAGGUACAGAGCCGCCUGGGGAGCGGCUCCUCGGCCUCGGUGUAUCGGGUGCGCUGCUGCGGCACCCCCGGCUCGCCCCCCGGCGCCCUCAAGCAGUUCCUGCCGCCGGGAACCACCGGCGCUGCGGCCUCGGCCGCCGAGUACGGUUUCCGAAAAGAGAGGGCGGCGCUGGAGCAAUUGCAGGGUCACAGGAACAUCGUGACCUUGUACGGAGUCUUCACCAUUCACUUCUCCCCGAACGUGCCGUCGCGCUGUCUGCUGCUGGAGCUCCUGGACGUCAGCGUCUCGGAGCUGCUCCUGUGCUCCAGCCACCAGGGCUGCUCCAUGUGGAUGAUCCAGCGCUGCGCCAGGGACGUCCUGGAGGCCCUUGCCUUCCUCCACCACGAGGGCUACGUGCACGCAGACCUCAAACCCCGUAACAUCCUAUGGAGCGCAGAGAAUGAGUGUUUUAAACUCAUUGACUUUGGACUUAGCUUCAAAGAAGGCAAUCAGGACGUGAAGUAUAUUCAGACCGACGGGUACCGGGCCCCAGAGGCAGAGCUGCAGAACUGCUUGGCCCAGGCCGGCCUGCAGAGCGACACGGAGUGCACCUCAGCUGUGGACCUCUGGAGCCUCGGAAUCAUUUUACUGGAAAUGUUCUCAGGAAUGAAACUGAAACACACAGUCAGAUCUCAGGAAUGGAAGGCAAACAGUUCUGCUAUUAUUGAUCACAUAUUUGCCAGUAAAGCAGUGGUGAAUGCCGCAAUUCCAGCCUAUCACCUCAGAGACCUUAUCAAAAGCAUGCUUCACGGCGACCCGGGCCGGAGGAUCCCUGCCGAGAUGGCGCUGUGCAGCCCGUUCUUCAGCAUUCCUUUCGCCCCUCACAUCGAAGACCUGGUGAUGCUCCCCACGCCAGUGCUGCGGCUGCUGAACGUGCUGGACGACGACUAUCUUGAGAACGAGGAGGACUACGAAGAUGUUGUAGAAGACGUCAAAGAGGAGUGUCAGAAAUACGGACCAGUGGUGUCUCUCCUCGUUCCAAAGGAGAAUCCUGGCAGGGGGCAAGUUUACGACCACAGAGCUUAUUCCUCUGUCUUCGCACGGCUUGGCCACCAGAGCAGUAUGAAUGUCAGCGAGCUCAAAGUCAGGCUGUCCAAAGCUGGACAGGAACACCUGCUGCAGUUCUGGAAUGAGCUGGGGGAGGCCCAGCAGGGAGAACUCUAUGCAGAGCUCCAGGCCAUGAACUUUGAGGAGCUGAACUUCUUUUUCCAGAAGGCCAUCGAAGGAUUCAACCAGUCGUCUCAGCAAGAAAAAAUGGAUGCACGCAUGGAGCCGGUCCCUCGAGAGGUGCUGGGCAGUGCCACCAGGGACCAAGAUCGGCUGCAGGCCUGGGAGAGUGAAGGACUUUUCCAGAUUUCUCAGAACAAAGUGGCAGUUCUCCUUCUGGCUGGCGGGCAGGGGACAAGACUUGGUGUUGCAUAUCCCAAGGGAAUGUAUGACGUUGGCUUGCCGUCUCAUAAGACGCUCUUUCAGAUUCAAGCGGAGCGUAUCCUGAAGCUUCAGCAGUUAGCAGAAAAAUAUCACGGCAACAAGUGUAUCAUUCCGUGGUAUAUAAUGACCAGUGGCAGAACAAUGGAAUUGACAAAGGAAUUCUUCACAAAGCACAAGUACUUUGGUUUAAAAAAAGAGAAUGUCAUCUUUUUCCAGCAGGGAAUGCUCCCUGCUAUGAGUUUUGAUGGGAAGAUUAUCUUGGAAGACAAGAACAAGAUUUCCAUGGCGCCAGAUGGGAACGGCGGUCUUUACCGGGCCCUCGCAGCCCAGAAUAUCGUGGCGGACAUGGAGCGGAGGGGCAUCUGGAGCAUUCACGUCUACUGUGUGGACAACAUCCUGGUGAAGGUGGCAGACCCCCGCUUCAUCGGCUUCUGCGUCCAGAAGGGAGCGGACUGUGGGGCAAAGCAUUUGAUGCUAGAAAUCAUGUUCUGUGCUUGUGUGUGGGAAAGCCGAUGAUCGUCACUAGGCCUGGGAUGGAUUCACUGGUACCAGAAACUUUAAUUUUACUGCUCUGAGCUUCAGGUCAGUUUUAAAUUUUGUAUGAUCCGAGCGGUGAACCUGGAAAGAACCUCAGAGAUCAUGUCGUCAACCCGUGUUAUCUCAGAAAGGAGCACCCAGAGUUCCAGUGCUUAACAAACGUGAAAGUAGAUGUGCUACCGUUUGUGAGUAUACGGUCACACAGAGAUUCAAGUGUAACCCGUCCGGCCACACCACCACCUGUGGGUCCUCCGGGAUUCUCCGUCUUCCUGCUCAUCACCUGGCACAUCACGCAGAAGCCAGUUGAUGCUUUCGUCUGUGAUCCAGACCUUGAUAACAUCUGGAGGGGCAGAGUUGUCCUAGAGGUACGUCUUUCACCGACGGAUGCUCUGUGGGACGCACCGACGCGAACUGUGACGUGUGAGCAUGCUCAGGUUCUUUCCCGUGGCUCGUCAGGAGUAGGGGUUGUAGAAGUGACUGGAAAAUCGUGUGCGCGUGUAGAUGGGAGAGGGCGGACUCAAUUCCAAAUUUCGUGUCUAGUGAAACGUCACCCCGCCGCCUCCCACAGUGGAGGUGGUGAGGGCUGAGGGCUUGAUGGUCGAGAAUUGCAGAUAGGCCUGUGAUUGAUGGCAGUCAUUUUCUUGUAUGUUUCCCCCAGUUUAAUCCACUUCCUUGGUAGCAAGUUCCUUUUCACUGAACGGUGUGCCUUUCCGGGUGGCAGACGGUGAAACCGCACAGCAGACUUCCGUCCCAGGUAGCCCUGCCUCACCGAGCUCGGCCCCCCCGCCAGUCCUGCUACUUGCCGUGUAAACCAGGGCCUCAGCGGGGGUGUCCGUUGUCUGGACGGGAUGCCGCUGGCCGGGUUUAUUUUAAGAAAUCAAUUGCCGAGGAAAAGCUUUCAUUUUAGAUAUGGUUUCAUGUAUGCUUAGGAUGGACUUUUCAGUCUGGGGACAGAUUUUUCAAAGGACUCCAGAGCGUGCUGGGUUAAGCAUGUUAGUCGACCAGGGCAGACAGCAGUAUCUGUAAAUACUCCUUGCUGUUUGAUUCUUCUGUUGGGUAUUCAGCUCCUCUGAGUCUUGAUUUCACUCAGUGUGGUGCAUGCCGUUCUUCUGUAAUUUCCUUCUGAACACUUAAUCUAGGUCAGUGAUGUGUUGGGUUAGGGUGCGGGGGUAUCAGAAUCACUUGUGAGGUUUUUGGUUGUUU
Molecule: RNA transcript, 3449 nt
Organism: Suricata suricatta (meerkat)
Lineage: Eukaryota; Metazoa; Chordata; Mammalia; Carnivora; Herpestidae
Gene name: serine/threonine-protein kinase Kist
Exons: 15
Source: RefSeq, a predicted model, not a curated record